GCGCAGGAGGAGGGGGGUGGGGUUGGUAUCGUCGUGUCCGUUCUCUGAGCGUGUCGCUGGCGGCGGCUGCCGCGACUGCUGUGGGGAGGGGCGAGCGGCCGGAGGCAGGAUGGAGAAGGCGGCGCUGAGCCGGAGGGAAGUUGUGUGAGGGGAGGCUCCGGCAUUGGGGGAGGCAGGCGGCCUGAGAGAGCCGAGGCGGCGGCGGGGAUCGUGUGGGGGCGGCCGGGGCCGGGGCCGGGGCCGGGGCUCCGGCUCUGUAGGCAGGCAGGAUGGAGCAAGAGGAGAUCCUGAGGAAAUUCAUCCAGCGCGUCCAGGCCAUGAAGGACACGGACCACAAUGGGGACGACAACUUCGCUAGCGACUUCAUGAGGUUAAGAAGAUUAUCAACCAAAUAUAGAACUGAAAAAAUCUAUCCAACAGUCACUGGAGAAAAAGAAGAAAAUGUUAAAAAGAACAGAUAUAAGGACAUAUUGCCAUUUGACCACAGCCGGGUUAAACUGACUUUAAAAACACUCCCGCAAGAUUCAGACUAUAUCAAUGCAAAUUUUAUUAAGGGAGUACAUGGGCCAAAAGCAUAUGUUGCUACCCAGGGACCAUUAGCAAAUACAGUAAUAGAUUUCUGGAGAAUGAUAUGGGAGUACAAUGUUGCAAUAAUUGUAAUGGCUUGUCGAGAGUUUGAAAUGGGACGGAAAAAAUGUGAGCGGUACUGGCCUUUGCAUGGAGAAGAAAGUGUAACUUUUGGACCAUUUCAGAUUUCUUGUGAAGCUGAACAAGCAAGAACAGACUACUAUAUUAGAACGCUAUUACUUGAAUUUCAAAAUGAAACUCGUAGGGUAUAUCAGUUUCAUUACGUGAACUGGCCUGACCACGAUGUUCCGUCAUCUUUUGAUUCUAUUCUGGACAUGAUCAGCUUAAUGAGAGAAUACCAGGAGCAUGAAGAUGUGCCUAUUUGUAUACACUGCAGUGCAGGGUGUGGAAGAACAGGAGCCAUCUGUGCCAUAGAUUAUACAUGGAAUUUGCUAAAAGCUGGGAAAAUACCAGAAGAAUUCAAUGUAUUUAAUUUAAUACAAGAAAUGAGGACACAAAGGCAUUCUGCAGUGCAGACCAAGGAGCAGUAUGAACUUGUCCAUCGAGCCAUAGCACAACUGUUUGAAAAGCAACUACAGAAAUAUGAGAGUCGCACAGACUGGAAGAUUGCUGAUGGAGUGAAUGAAACUAGUACAGAGAAAACUGUCAAUUCUGUAGAUCUUGAGAAACAAGACUCUCCUCCACCAAAGCCUCCACGGACCCGCAGUUGUCUUGUAGAAGGAGAUGUUAAGGAAGAAAUCUUGCAGCCUCCAGAGCCUCACCCAGUACCACCCAUCUUAACACCAUCUCCUCCUUCAGCUUAUCCGACAGUCACUACUGUGUGGCAGGACAAUGAUAGAUACCAUCCAAAGCCAGUUUUGCACAUGGUUUCAUCAGACCAUUCAACAGACCUCAAUGAAAACUAUAAUAAAUCAACAGAACAUUCAGGGAAAAAUGAACCCAAUGAACGUAUGGAGAAAAAGCUGGAGCGCAACUUAAGUUUUGAAAUUAAGAAGGUACCUCUUCAGGAGGGACCACGAAGCUUUGAUGGGAAUACUCUUUUGAACCGAGGACAUGCAAUUAAAAUGAAGUCUGUUCCUUCUUGUGUAAUGCAUAAGAACUCUAAGCCACUGGAUCAUAGUUCAGGGGAUUCACUCAUAGACUCUUUUCAAAACUCUAGUAUGGAAUACAGUGUGCCACAAUCUAACAAAGCCUUAGUAGCUUCGCUGGAAGGGCUGCAGAGCCAGAAGGAUUCUGAUGCUCCACCAAGACCAGACCGUCUGCUUCUCAAAGAGAAGGGGCAUGCCAAGUGGUCACUACAUGGGCCUGAAAAUGCACUGCCUACAUCUGCGUCUGAGGCUAUGUCCUCAGACGUCUUAAGUCAUAGUAUUAAAACUGCCUCUCUGGUACCAAACCCCACAUCUCAAGUGGAAUGCUCUUCCAGUGAAAUAGCUGAUCGUCAGAACAGUACGCUUUUAGUUAGAGCACCCCUCUGUUUCACUAAUCCUCUUCAUUCCGAUGAUUCUGACACAGAUGAGAGGAACGUUGAUGGAGCCAUGACCAAAAGUAUGUCUAAUAUUUCAACCGCAAGUGCCACAGUUUCUGCUUCCACUAGUACUGAAAACAUUUCUGCUAGAAAAGUAUUAUCAAUGUCCAUUGCUAGACAAGAUGUUCCAAGCAUAAGACAUUCUGAAGAGGAAAAAGUCUCAGCCUAUUAUACCAGGCUUUUCAGACUUUGCACCUUCCUGUUAAGGUUUUAUGCUGCUGCUUGCAGUUUGUACCAGUUUCUUCCCUCCCAAGGCGUACCGCUUCCUGAAGUCUUUCUGCUGCUCCUCACAUCCAGGUACAGUUUUUUCUGCCCUGGGCCUCCUUUCUGAUGGGGAUUUACUAUUCUUCAUAGCUAGAUAGUUUAUUCCUGCCCUCCCUGGGCCUAGAUUCUAAGGAGCUAUCAUGCAGUUUUUCCUUUCGUAGAGUCCCUCCCCAGUCCUUUUCAAGCUCUCUUGUCUUGUUUUCUCUCUAAUUAUACUCCCAAUCAGGCGCCACCUGCCCCUCAUUAGGCUCCCAACUGGUUGCACCUCUUAGUCUCCAGAGAAGCUGGACCCACUUCAUUUAAGAGGCCAGCCACCCUGUGACAUAACCGUACGAAGGCUAUUUGUGACACUUACUUGGUUGUAAAAUACUUCGAGAUGGAAGUGCUAAUAAUUAGUUAAAAGUCCUAAAGAAGAGACUGUACACGCGUGUGUGACCUUUUCUUGUCUAUACUAGAAAAAUUUGGCACGCUAACCACUGUUACAGGCAUGCCAGCAAGUCCACAUGCCAGGCUUCCAACAGUACACCAGUGCUCACGGACUUUGUGGAUGCCAUUUGAGUUAAUUAUGAAUCUGUUCAUCUCCACCAUUGCAUCACCAGGGUAGAGAACAGUACUGGCAUAACAGCUGCAACAGUGCAAUUCGUGUGCAUUACUGUGCACCAAUCGUUCAGGUGCUUCUGUAUUGUACAAGGGUCAAAUUUGCUAGAAGCCUUUCACCCGUUCAAAUUGGAUUGCAUGUGCUUGGGAUGUCAGUACAUGUGUUCUCACAGUCUCUUGAGUUACCAGGCCACUUUUGUAAUAUGUCAGAAGAAACCAUCAUAUAAAUGUGCUGCCAGCUGGUUUGGAAGUGUCCCAGUGUUUAAGAACUGGAGCAACCAGCAGAUUACUCCCAGCUGAACUGAUUCAUAAUACCAUGUUUUGCAGCUGGGUUCCAAAUGUCUUGCCAAGCAAAGUAUCAUUAAUUCUGGGAGAAGAUAGAGGGUCUGAAGGUCCAGUGCAACAAGGCCUGGAAUGUUGACAGCUGCUCCACAGCACAGUGGAAGACACCUAUUUAUGACACAUUGAUGAUAUUCUCAGCACAUCAUCAUCUGAGUUUAUUUUAGUCUGAGUUCAUUUUGGACAGCAUCAAAAAAGCUAGCAAUGUGCUGUUGAGAGACCAGGAAAGGUGGAAAGGACAUAUGUGGUCAAAUCCAGAACUGAUGUGGAUAAAGGCUUAUCCAAAACUGUUCUGGGUGCUGAAGAUCUCUUGGCAGAGUGUCUCUUUCUGGAUACAAGCAGAUGAGCAAGCUUUAAACGAGGACUUGGGAGAUGAAAGGUCCUCUAAACAAGAUAUGUUGCUGUUAGUUUACUCCUCUGAAAGUAAUGUCACAAGCUUAGAGUGAAAGCUUAACAAUGGAAAGAGGAAGGUAUUUGUAGAUGUUUUUUGUUCUGUUACUAACAUUUUGGAAAAAGGAAGCCUUUGUUAAAAAUUAAACAUGCCCUAACUUUCUGUUAAGGUGCGAGAGCUGACUAUAUGUUCUCUGGAAAUAUCUGUUUAGAAACCACUACUGCAUCAAGGCCACAAUUUGGAAAUGUUAGUUACACCAAGAUAGUGAACAGGCAGCACCCCAAGGAGCGGAUACUUGACCUAUCUCUAUGCUAAGGCAGAGCAAGAGGUGAAAUGGUGACCAUCAUAGGGGUGUGAAAAUACACAGUAAUAGAAUUUGAGGUGGAGGACAAGAAACAGAAGUUUGAGGACAGUCCACCUUUUUUGUGUACAUUCAGGGAAGAGGACCGAGAAGCCAUGAUGGAAUACACCUAUUGUGACAGGGAAAUGAGCCUACUGGGAAAAGAGUACCACAGGGAGCUCUUCACAGGAAAUAAAUGCAGAGCAAGAGGCAAACUGCAGUUUGUUCCUCUGACUCCCUGCACAUGUGCAUUAUGUUCCAGCUCUUCAGUACAGUGCCAUUAGACAGGAGCACUACAUGUUGGACUGGCCAUUCUUACCUGCUUCUUCCUGGGCAUUCCCAUGCAACUCUACCCCUCAUCUGGAUUAGGGAAAAAGACAGAGAAUCCACAGAAGAUGCAAUUCCUGUCCCUACAGUAUCUAUUUACAAACUGUUUUAUUAUGUGUUUUGCAUUGAUUACUUCAGCUGGCCUGUAUGUGUUGUGUUUAAAUAAAGAUGGUUUUCAGUA
Dermochelys coriacea (leatherback sea turtle) is the source of this 4552-nucleotide RNA transcript. It is a transcript of the gene named protein tyrosine phosphatase non-receptor type 12, with no coding region annotated. The transcript is spliced from 15 exons. NCBI's taxonomy places the organism in Eukaryota, Metazoa, Chordata, Testudines, Dermochelyidae. The record is from RefSeq and is a predicted model, not a curated record.